GGUCUAGUCGUAGCUGGAAUUAAUGCAACAUUUUUAAACGCUUUUUGAAAGACGGCUGCAUUGUAUGUUCUGCUUCUUCUUAUAAGAAAUUAUAAGAUUUUCUGUCUUCACGGAAAUAACCCUUUCCAGUUUGAAAUUUGAAAGGUGUCAUGAGCUCUGAAGGCUGCAGUCACGGGAGGAGGUUCCCGCUCGAAGCUGGUGACUGCUCAGCUCCCCGGCCAGCUGCUGAGAGGCACACGCCCGAGGAUCUGACAGGACCGGUCCCUCCGACUCGGCAGCUGAGACGAUGCCCUGGCAGUCAUUGUCUGAAUGUGUGGAGGGAGGUGGCUUGGGAGAGCACCGUUAAUGGGGACACGUCAAGCACAGGCCCCUGAGCGCAGCAGCAGAGAGAAUCUUAGACACAGCUCAGACAGCAGUGGCGUACGAGGGACCGGCUGCUUGGCAGGAAAAGUACAGUCUUACGUGAAAUAAAAAAACCUUAAAGUUUA
This is a non-coding RNA of Lepisosteus oculatus (spotted gar), 488 nucleotides long. NCBI's taxonomy places the organism in Eukaryota, Metazoa, Chordata, Actinopteri, Semionotiformes, Lepisosteidae. The record is from RefSeq and is a predicted model, not a curated record.